RNAcentral lists this non-coding RNA (714 nucleotides) under Omophoita sp. REN-2018. The record is from RNAcentral. Lineage: Eukaryota; Metazoa; Arthropoda; Insecta; Coleoptera; Chrysomelidae.
UAGGUAAUAUUUUUAUUUAUAUAUAAAUAUUUUUUAAAAAAUUAUUAGUAGUAUUUAAUUUUAAUUAUUUAAGGAAUUAAGAAUUAGAAAUAAUAAUUAAUAUAAACAAAAUUUGUGCCAGCAGUUGCGGUUAUACUAAUUAUAUAAUUUAAUUUUAUUAAUUAUAAUAAAUUAUUUUAUUUUAUAUAAAUAUAAAUUUUAUUAAGUGGAAUUUUAAAAUUUAGUUAUUAUAAUUUUUAUAAAAUGAUUUAAUUAAUUUUUGUUUUAAACUAGGAUUAGAUACCCUAUUAUUAAAAAUAAGAUUUUUAAUUGAAUUAUUAAUAUAGAUAUGUAUGAAAAUUAAAAGUUUUGGCGGUAUUUUAAUUUUUUCAGAGGAACCUGUUUUUUAAAUGAUAAUCCACGAUUUAAUUUACUUUUUUUAUUAAUUUAUAUAUCAUCGUUAUUAAAUAUUUUUAAUAAAUUUAAUAUUUAAGAUUUUUAAUUAAAAAUUAAAUCAGAUCAAGGUAUAGUUUAUAUAAAAGUUAAAAUGGGUUACAAUAAAUUUAUUUGAGGAUAAUUUUUAUUAUUAAGAUUUUAAAUAUGGAUUUGAAAGUAAUUUUUAUUAAUUAAUAAAAAUGAUUUUAAUUCUAAAAUAUGUACAUAUUGCCCGUCGCUUUCAUUUAAUAUGAAAUAAGUCGUAACAAAGUAGAUUUACUGGAAAGUGAAUCUAGAUUC